GCCCCGGUUGCCUAGCGGUUAUGGCGGCGGCCUUGUAAGCCGCAGGUCGCGGGUUCGAAUCCCGCCCGGGGCU
This 73-nucleotide transfer RNA is filed under the name Candidatus Bathyarchaeota archaeon. RNAcentral's name for it is "tRNA-Thr". It matches the Rfam family "tRNA". Rfam says of the family: Transfer RNA (tRNA) molecules are approximately 80 nucleotides in length. Their secondary structure includes four short double-helical elements and three loops (D, anti-codon, and T loops). Lineage: Archaea; Thermoproteati; Candidatus Bathyarchaeota. The record is from RNAcentral. RNAcentral also lists the same sequence under 5 other names.